GCAUAGCCGCUGGAUUUAUGCAAAUGUCAGUGUUCCUCUUCAGGAACAAGGUAAGACAUUUAAGACAAUCUUUUCACUGGGAAACAAACACUUUGCUCUGCUAGGGGGAAGUUUAAUCAUUUGAUGGAAGAAUUUCCAUUUCUUCAGGCAUGCACCGACGUGCACAGACUCACAUGUAAUCUGACCCUGAAGAAAGGCUUGUGCUGGCACCCUCCCAGUGACCUCAGAGUAUCGUGCAUUGUCAUGUGAGAAUAACAAGGUGCCAUACAGGGUUAUGUUAAGGGAGAAAAGAGGACCAGGAAACCAAGAAAUCAAGACUCCGAAAUGCAAAGGGUGGUCGCUUUGAGUCUCAGUAUGUCAAGGAAUUCCAAGACAGCACAGGCCACUCUUCAUCACUUAUUAUAAUUGUAUGCUGCAACCGAAGCAAAGUUCCUUGUUGGAACUCUUCAGAAUCCUGGUGGAAACAACCUAUCUUAAUUGUGGCAGAACCAGGGUGAAACACGUAAAAGAGAACAUUCGCUGUGGUCCUGACAUCUGACUACAAAGGAACGGAAGGGACUCUGGCUAAACCACCCUACUCUACAGUCAUCCAUUUUCUCUGCCCUAUGCUGGAGCUCCUGAGGGUGUUUACAUUUUUGGCGGUAGGUAAGUGCAUAGAAACACAGUUGCUAGUGGAAGCGUAAAACCCACUGGGAAACUCAACAGCCUCAGAAUGGCUUUUCUAACUGUUGGGGCUGGUUAAUUAUGUGUGUCUUUUUACUAUUAUCUGAGAGUUCUUUAUGAUCUUAAUAAACAAAAAAUGGAGGCGCAUGGAAGUUACGUAACAUCCCUCGGGCAGCGUGCUCGGUAAGUACAAAAUCAUAUCAAUCAUAUCUCAGUGUGGUUUAGAGUGGCUCUAAAGACAGGUUUUGUCCUUGACUCCACCCAGUGUCCGGAGAGGCGGUGCCCGAGACAGUGGGUCCUGCAAGGCAGAACAGAAGACAGGACUGGGCUAGUAAAGGAUGCCCCUGAGGCUGGAAGAGAGCAAAGAGCCAUGGUGGUUGAGAGGACAGACAAGGGGCAGCUGUGGGCAGAUGAGCGGGAAACCAUCAGCAGUUGCUGAUGCGAAGCCUAGGUUCGGGCUUUUGUUUGUAAUGAGACAGGAUGUCAGGCUUUGUCCCUGAGAGCAAGAGAGGUUUUCUCCUAAUGUUUAUGUGUUUGCCCAGCACAGAACACAAUCAAGGCCAAUAAAAGAAAAGAGAUCCACAAUGCCACAGAUGUACUCAACAUCCUCGUUCGGAAAUGACAUGCACAUCUUUUACUGAAAUGUGAAAGCAAAUUUCUGAACUACCUUUGAUUGAGAGCAAAUAAAUUAAAUGCAUCUGUGAUGUACUGUCA
Long non-coding RNA from Mesocricetus auratus (golden hamster), 1377 nucleotides. RefSeq lists it as uncharacterized. NCBI's taxonomy places the organism in Eukaryota, Metazoa, Chordata, Mammalia, Rodentia, Cricetidae. The record is from RefSeq and is a predicted model, not a curated record. The transcript has 4 exons.